This 498-nucleotide ribosomal RNA is filed under the name uncultured Glomeromycotina. RNAcentral's name for it is "partial small subunit ribosomal RNA". It matches the Rfam family "Eukaryotic small subunit ribosomal RNA", at positions 591 to 1092 of the family's 1831-position model. The record is from RNAcentral. Lineage: Eukaryota; Fungi; Glomeromycota.
CCAAUAGCGUAUAUUAAAGUUGUUGCAGUUAAAAAGCUCGUAGUUGAAUUUUGGAUUCUGCCAGUUGGUCCAUCUUUUGAUGAGUACUGAUUGUGCGGGGUCUAUCCGCCUGGGGAGACGUAAUGUACUUUAUUGUAUGUUGCGGAUAGCCAGGACCUUUACCUUGAAAAAAUUAGAGUGUUUAAAGCAGGCUUAUGCCGGAAUACAUUAGCAUGGAAUAAUAGAAUAGGACGAUGUUGUUUUAUUUUGUUGGUUUCUAGGACAACCGUAAUGAUUAAUAGGGAUAGUUGGGGGCAUUAGUAUUCAAUUGUCAGAGGUGAAAUUCUUGGAUUUAUUGAAGACUAACUACUGCGAAAGCAUUUGCCAAGGAUGUUUUCAUUAAUCAAGAACGAAAGUUAGGGGAUCGAAGACGAUCAGAUACCGUCGUAGUCUUAACCAUAAACUAUGCCGACUAGGGAUCGGGCGAUGUUGUUUCCAUGACUCGCUCGGCACCUUAUG